Molecule: ribosomal RNA, 786 nt
Filed under: Triticum aestivum (bread wheat)
Lineage: Eukaryota; Viridiplantae; Streptophyta; Magnoliopsida; Poales; Poaceae
Description: partial small subunit ribosomal RNA
Source: RNAcentral
UUCCUCCGUCGCUUCGUCUUGCUCCUCGCCACAACAACCCUUUGUCGCGUCGUUUCGUCGUCGCUUCGUCUUGUUCCCCGCCGCAUCGCUCCCAUGGCGCUGUCGAGCUCAUGGGAUGGCUCCAACGUCCACGAGGACCACGUCGAGUUCCUCCGCCGGACGCGGCGCCUGCCCGGCGAGAACCUAGUGCGGGUUCGUCAAGCGCCGGCGAGGGAGAUUUCACCGGCACCAGAGGAGGGCGAGCGGGUGAUCUUUCGCUCGCACUGCCUGUGCGGCUUCGGCCUCCCGGCGAGUGGAUUCCUUCGAGCCUUCCUCGAAUUCUACCACCUCCAGCCGCAUCACCUCACGCCCAACGCGGUGAUGCUGUUGUCGGCCUUCGUCACCUUUUGCGAGGGUUUUCUCGGAGUUCUCCCCAUGCUCGAGCUCUGGGGGGAGUUCUUCCAAAGCAAGCUCAGCACCGUCGUCGCAGGCGUGCCCGCCCCCUGCGGAGCCUUUAUUGCCAUGAGGCGGGCGAGCGAGAACAAUCCGUUCCCUUCCAUUCCGCUGAUCCAGUCGGUGAAGCUUUGGCAGAAGUCUUAUUUCUACAUGAAGAACGUCGCCCAGCAAGGCGAGUACGUCAACCUGCCGGCUUACGUAGCCGGCCCGCCGGCUGGGAGGCAACCUUCAUGGAGCUAUCGGGCCAGGUCGCUGUCUCAGGCCGGGAACGCAGCCGUCUCCCGGCUUCGGGUGAUGAUCCAGUCGGAGGGCCUGACCGGAGCCGACUUGGUGGCCGCCUUCGUGGAGCGC